GGGAGGCAGCAGUGGGGAAUUUUGGACAAUGGGCGCAAGCCUGAUCCAGCAAUGCCGCGUGCAGGAAGAAGGCCUUCGGGUUGUAAACUGCUUUUGUCAGGGAAGAAAUCCUCUGGGUUAAUACCUCGGGGGGAUGACGGUACCUGAAGAAUAAGCACCGGCUAACUACGUGCCAGCAGCCGCGGUAAUACGUAGGGUGCGAGCGUUAAUCGGAAUUACUGGGCGUAAAGCGUGCGCAGGCGGUUGUGCAAGACAGGUGUGAAAUCCCCGGGCUUAACCUGGGAACUGCACUUGUGACUGCACGGCUAGAGUACGGUAGAGGGGGAUGGAAUUCCGCGUGUAGCAGUGAAAUGCGUAGAUAUGCGGAGGAACACCGAUGGCGAAGGCAAUCCCCUGGACCUGUACUGACGCUCAUGCACGAAAGCGUGGGGAGCAAACAGGAUUAGAUACCCUGGUAGUCCACGCCCUAAACGAUGUCAACUGGUUGUUGGACGGCUUGCUGUUCAGUAACGAAGCUAA
Molecule: ribosomal RNA, 519 nt
Filed under: uncultured bacterium
Lineage: Bacteria
Description: bacterial SSU rRNA
Rfam family: Bacterial small subunit ribosomal RNA
Source: RNAcentral